Molecule: unclassified non-coding RNA, 696 nt
Filed under: Hevea brasiliensis (rubber tree)
Lineage: Eukaryota; Viridiplantae; Streptophyta; Magnoliopsida; Malpighiales; Euphorbiaceae
Source: RNAcentral
GUUGGGAGCUUGCCUUGGUCACCACUCCAAGUAGUAACCUUUCAUCAACUAAUGAGAGACAACUGGCUGGUGGAUUGGACACACUUACUCUCGAUAGCUUAUAUGAUGAAGGUGCAUAUAGAGCUUCUCUACAGCCCGUGUACGGUAAGCCCGCACCAAAUCCGUUUGAGGUGCAAGAUCCGUUUGCAUAUUCGAACGCCAUUGCUCCACCUCCAUCAGUUCAAAUGGCACCACUACCUCAGCAGCAGGCCAAUCCUUUUGGUCCUUUUCAACCUACCUUCCCACAGCAGCAACAGCCCUUUUCAAUGGACCCAACAAAUCCUUUUGGUGAUGCAGGUUUUGGAGCAUUCCCUGCUCCUAACCACCAUACUGUACCACCGCCUGCAAGCAACCCGUUCGGAAGCACAGGCCUGCUGUAGAUUGCUUGUGGUACUGUCUCCAACGUGUAAUUUAGUCGACGGAUUUGAUUUCAUCAUAUUUGGCGGGAUGUAAAGGGUCGGUUUUUGUUGGACGAGCUGCAAAGAACGGUUGGUUUGGGGCGUGCGACAUUUGUUUUGGUUGAAACUUCCAGUGAGAGUGAAUAGUGAAAGUUGUAAUAAGUAGUGAAUGAAAUUCAUGACCAUUUCAAGUUAGCUUCGGAAUACUUGGAACUCUCGUCCUAUUCUGCUGAUUUCGAGUGCAUCUCUUAGAAUUCAG